GUGCUCGCUUUAGCAGCCCAUGCAAUAAAAUUGGAAUGUUGCAGAGAAGGUUAGCAUGGCCCCAGUGCGAGGAAGACACAGAUUUGUGAAGCGUUCCAUAUUUUU
This is a small nuclear RNA of Vicugna pacos (alpaca), 105 nucleotides long. Lineage: Eukaryota; Metazoa; Chordata; Mammalia; Artiodactyla; Camelidae. The record is from Ensembl.